This 1360-nucleotide ribosomal RNA is filed under the name Bacillus sp. (in: firmicutes). RNAcentral's name for it is "Bacillus sp. (in: Bacteria) partial 16S ribosomal RNA". It matches the Rfam family "Bacterial small subunit ribosomal RNA", at positions 62 to 1405 of the family's 1533-position model. Lineage: Bacteria; Bacillati; Bacillota; Bacilli; Caryophanales; Bacillaceae. The record is from RNAcentral.
UCGAGCGAUGGAUUAAGAGCUUGCUCUUAUGAAGUUAGCGGCGGACGGGUGAGUAACACGUGGGUAACCUGCCCAUAAGACUGGGAUAACUCCGGGAAACCGGGGCUAAUACCGGAUAACAUUUUGAACCGCAUGGUUCGAAAUUGAAAGGCGGCUUCGGCUGUCACUUAUGGAUGGACCCGCGUCGCAUUAGCUAGUUGGUGAGGUAACGGCUCACCAAGGCAACGAUGCGUAGCCGACCUGAGAGGGUGAUCGGCCACACUGGGACUGAGACACGGCCCAGACUCCUACGGGAGGCAGCAGUAGGGAAUCUUCCGCAAUGGACGAAAGUCUGACGGAGCAACGCCGCGUGAGUGAUGAAGGCUUUCGGGUCGUAAAACUCUGUUGUUACGGAAGAACAAGUGCUAGUUGAAUAAGCUGGCACCUUGACGGGGCCUAACCAGAAAGCCACGGGCUACUACGUAGCCAACAAGCCCCGGGAAUGCCUAAGGGGCUAACUUUAAUCCGGAAUUAUUGGGGCCUAAAGCGGCGCGCGGGGGGGGUUCUUUAAUUCUGAUGUUAAAAGCCCCCCGGCUCACCCCCGGAAGGGGCAAUGGGAAAAAGGGGGAACUUUCCGGCAAAAAAGGAGAGAAGGACUCCAUGGGUAGCGUGAAAUGCGUAGAGAUAUGAAGAACACCGGGGGAGGCGACUUUCUGUUUGUACUGCCAUGAGGCGGGAAGGGGUGGGAAGCAACCAGGAUAGAUCCCUGUUAUUCCCGCCGGUAAAGGAGAGUGUAAGGGUAGGAGGUUUCCGCCCUUUAGGUGCGAAAGUAAAGCCAUAAAGAAUUCCCCUGGGGAAGUCGGCCGCAAGGGUGAAAAUCAAAAGAAAUGGAGGGGGGCCGGCACAAGCGUUGAAGAUGGUGGUUUAAUUGGAGGCAAGGGGAGGAACCUUCCCAGGUCUUGCCAUCUUCGGCCACCCCUGGAGAUGGGGCUUUUCUUUCGGGAGCGGAGGACCAGGGGGGGCAGGGUGUUCUUCAGUUCGUUUGGGGAAAGGUGGGGUAAAUUCCGGCAAGGGGGGCACCCCUGGUUCUUAGUUCCCUUCAUUAAGUGGGCCAUUCUAAGGGGCCUCCGGUGGCCAACCGGGAGGAAGGGGGGGAGGAGUUAAAUUCUUCAUCCCCUUUAGGCCUGGGGUUCCCCAGGGGUUCCAAGGGAGGGUCCAAGGAGUGGCAGGCCGGGGAGGGGGAGUUAUUUUCAUAAACCGUUUUUCAGUUGGGAUGGUGGGUGGCAAUUGCCUUCCAGGAAGCGGGAUUGGUUAUUAUUGGGGGUUCACCAUCCGGCGGGGAAUAGUUUCCGGGCCUUGGUCCCCCCCCCCGGUACCCCCA